UCUUACAGCAUAUGAGCUCAACAACCACAGAAUGAGGACGGCGCAGCUUUCACUCUUCUUUCUGCUGGUGUGUCAAACUACAGAGAGUUUAAGAGAUAAACGGGCGAAUUUAGGGGAAAAUGUGACUUUAGACUGUCAGAUUGAUGUAAAAGAGAUUUAUUGGGUUUUCCAGAAACCGACAGAUUCUCCAGCGCUUAUAAUGCGGACUUUCUCACCAAAUUAUACAUCACCUCAAUUCUUUGACGAAAGAUUCAAAGUCAAAUACUCAUCACUGACUUUGAGCCGGUUAUUUAUUAGUAACAUUACUAUUGAUGUAUUAGGAAUAUAUUAUUGUCUAAAAACAGGCCCAAUUCUACAGCUCAGCAAUGGCACCAGACUUUACAUCUCUG
This is a long non-coding RNA of Rhinichthys klamathensis goyatoka, 389 nucleotides long. RefSeq lists it as uncharacterized. The record is from RefSeq and is a predicted model, not a curated record. NCBI's taxonomy places the organism in Eukaryota, Metazoa, Chordata, Actinopteri, Cypriniformes, Leuciscidae. The transcript has 2 exons.